RNAcentral lists this unclassified non-coding RNA (296 nucleotides) under Hevea brasiliensis (rubber tree). The record is from RNAcentral. Lineage: Eukaryota; Viridiplantae; Streptophyta; Magnoliopsida; Malpighiales; Euphorbiaceae.
UUUAUAAGAAAAUUGUGCAUGGCUUCAAUGGAAGUCAAAAUGUAUAUAAAUUGUAAUCCUAAUUCUUAUUCUGAAAGGAUAAUGCAGGCACAUGUUUUCUCUAGGUCUUGGAAUGUUGGUUAAAUAAAGAUGGUAUUGACAUGUCUUGCAUGUUUUUCCUUUUCUCUUGGGGGCAUGGUAUUUGGUUGAGAUUCGACAUGAAAGAAACUUUUAAGUAUAUUGAAAAUUCCUUUGCUUCUUGAAAUUUCGAUUCUAGUAUCAAUUAGAAUUUUGCUUGAACAUCUUAUUUUUGGCAG